This 1191-nucleotide ribosomal RNA is filed under the name Triticum aestivum (bread wheat). RNAcentral's name for it is "partial small subunit ribosomal RNA". Lineage: Eukaryota; Viridiplantae; Streptophyta; Magnoliopsida; Poales; Poaceae. The record is from RNAcentral.
AUGCAAGCUGCCCUCCGUAAGGUUGGGGAUGUGCCACGGGACCAGCUAGACGAGCAAGUCAAGCUCUGGGGAAACGAGGUCAGAGACCUUUCGUACAAAAUAGAGGAUAUCAUCGAUAAGUUCAUGGUGCAGGUCAUGGGCACCAAACCUGCCGUCAAGCCGCGCAAGCUCAAACGGCUCAAGAAGAAGAUGUGCGACUUGUUCACUGAGUUCAUGGCACGCCAUGCCAUCGGCGACGAUAUUAAAGAGAUCAAAGCCCGUGUCGAGAAGGUGGCUGCCCGCCGUGACCGGUACAAGGUCAAUGAUGUGGUUCCUAAUCUAGCUGGCCCACUCAUGGUUGACCCUCGACUAUCGGCUCUGUACAAGGACCGGAAAGAGCUUGUUGGCAUUGAUGAUUCGUUGAAUGAACUAACAAAGAAGCUGAGUAACGAGGACGGUGAUGUGUCCAAGCAACUCCAGAUACUCUCUGUUUUCGGAUUCGGAGGCCUUGGCAAGACAACCCUUGCCAAAGCAUUGUACGAUAAGUGCCAAGCACAGUUUGAUUGCAGUGCUUUUGUUCCAGUAGGACGGAACCCUAGCGUGAAGAAACUUCUCAAUGACAUACUCUUCGAAAUUGUUGGGCAAAAGAACUUGGAAUUGGUUGAAAGGGAGCUAAUCAACAAACUCCGAGGAUUACUCGAGAACAAAAGAUACUUCAUCAUUAUUGAUGACAUAUGGGAUAUAGAAACAUGGAAAAUAGUCAAGCUCGCUUUGGUGCGUAAUAAUUGUGGAAGCAAAAUAAUUACAACUACUCGUAUACUCGAAGUUGCCACAACGACCGGUGAAGUAUAUAGGUUACAACCACUUUCGCUGGAUUUAUCUGAGGAUCUGUUUCAUAGAAGAUUAUCUGGUGGCGAAAUAAAACGGCCUGAUCAUCUGCGAGCAGAGGUAGAUAAAGUUUUACAUAAAUGUGAUGGUGUACCAUUGGCUAUAAUCACAAUAGCUAGUUUGCUUGUCAGUAAACCUGUGGAGUUUUGGUCUAAGGUAUACACUUCAAUUGGUUUUGGGCAUGAAGAAAACAAAGAUGUGGAGAACACGAGAAAAAUACUUCUGUUUAGCUAUUAUGAUCUACCUUGUCACCUAAAGACUUGCUUAUUGUAUCUGAGCAUAUAUCCUGAAGAUCAUCUGAUUGAAAAAGAUAGUUUGAUAUGA